RNAcentral lists this ribosomal RNA (269 nucleotides) under uncultured Parabacteroides sp. Its description in RNAcentral is "partial 16S ribosomal RNA". It matches the Rfam family "Bacterial small subunit ribosomal RNA", at positions 73 to 339 of the family's 1533-position model. The record is from RNAcentral. Lineage: Bacteria; Pseudomonadati; Bacteroidota; Bacteroidia; Bacteroidales; Tannerellaceae.
UUGGAGCUUGCUCCGAUCGGAUUAGUGGCGGACGGGUGAGUAACGCGUAUGCAACUUACCUAUCAGAGGGGGAUAACCCGGCGAAAGUCGGACUAAUACCGCAUGAAGCAGGGGCCCCGCAUGGGGAUAUUUGCUAAAGAUUCAUCGCUGAUAGAUAGGCAUGCGUUCCAUUAGGCAGUUGGCGGGGUAACGGCCCACCAAACCGACGAUGGGUAGCCGAGCUGAGAGGCUGAUCGGCCACACUGGAACUGAGACACGGUCCAAACUCC